This 76-nucleotide transfer RNA is filed under the name Candidatus Planktophila lacus. RNAcentral describes it as "tRNA-Asn". It matches the Rfam family "tRNA". Rfam says of the family: Transfer RNA (tRNA) molecules are approximately 80 nucleotides in length. Their secondary structure includes four short double-helical elements and three loops (D, anti-codon, and T loops). RNAcentral also lists the same sequence under 5 other names. The record is from RNAcentral. Lineage: Bacteria; Bacillati; Actinomycetota; Actinomycetes; Candidatus Nanopelagicales; Candidatus Nanopelagicaceae.
UGCCCCAUAGCUCAGUUGGUAGAGCGCCGAACUGUUAAUUCGGAUGUCCCUGGAUCGAGGCCAGGUGGGGCAGCCA